Molecule: ribosomal RNA, 496 nt
Filed under: uncultured bacterium
Lineage: Bacteria
Description: partial 16S ribosomal RNA
Rfam family: Bacterial small subunit ribosomal RNA
Source: RNAcentral
GAUGAACGCUGGCGGCGUGCCUAAUACAUGCAAGUCGAGCGAACGGACGAGAAGCUUGCUUCUCUGAUGUUAGCGGCGGACGGGUGAGUAACACGUGGAUAACCUACCUAUAAGACUGGGAUAACUUCGGGAAACCGGAGCUAAUACCGGAUAAUAUUUUGAACCGCAUGGUUCAAAAGUGAAAGACGGUCUUGCUGUCACUUAUAGAUGGAUCCGCGCUGCAUUAGCUAGUUGGUAAGGUAACGGCUUACCAAGGCAACGAUGCAUAGCCGACCUGAGAGGGUGACGGCCCACCCGGAAAGGGACAACGGUCCCAACCCCCUAGGGAGGGCAGAGGAGGGGAUCUUCCGCAAUGGGGGGAAAGCUGGCGGAGGAAAGGCGGGUGGGUGGAAAAGGGCUUUGGAUCGUAAAACCUUGUUUAUAGGGAAAAACAAUUUGUGAAGUAAAUUUGCACCUCUUGACGGUAACUAAUCAAAAAGCCCCGGCUAACUACGUG